GAAUGUUGCUUGUGUCUGCGAGAUUGUCCAAGUAAAUUUUAUGUGGGAAUUGGAGUGAUUAAGUUCUUCCAGAAAAUCCAUUAGUUCCUCGUGGCUAUCAUCCCAAAUCAUUAUGAUAUCAUCAAUGUAACGAUACCAUAAUGUUGGUUUACGUUUUAGUAUUCUGGCUUUAUUAAAGAAAUCGAUCUCCAAGUCCCACAUGAAGAGACAAGCAUACGUCGGGGCUGCUUUCGUUCCCAUCGCUGUUCCGUGUAUCUGUCGAUAAUAUUUGUUAUUAAAUUGGAAGACGUUAUCUUUAAGGAUGUGAGUUAGAAAGUCGCGUAAGUUCUCUUUAGUUCCUCUAGAUCUCGUGGGACAAUUGGAGCUGCAACGUCCAAGGGCAUACUAACUCCUUUUGAAUCCGAUUCUUUGUCUAGGGAGACUGGACCGUCCCAAUCUAUUCCAAAAUGCUUGGAUCUACGGUCAAUGCAUCGGCUACGGAGUAGCUUGAUCCCAGCAUUCUUAACAUGCCAGAUAUCCAUAACUGGACAGGCGAACCGUAAAUUACAAUAAAUACCGUAUUUAGAAACAUUAUAUCAAAAUUUCUAACCUACGACGGAGUUCUGCAUGUUCAGUGGACACAAGAUGCCUGCACCAACCUUGACGAAAUCCAUCAAAACUGGCUUGAAUUCUGGGAAUAGAGACAUAUUGCAAGCAGAACAAGUCAGUAACGUUGCCUGGAUCUAGUAGCUGACGCCUUUCCAAAUCCUGAAAUAUAUUUUUAUGACGAUGUUACUCCCACGGUUACGUCUCUCCAUAGACGUUCGAUCCUCUGGUUGUGUAUAGCGAACGGCAAUAAAGCUAUGUCUCCCCGUUCCUCUUGCUGCUACUAGCAUGUACUCAGCGACUCUGACAUUCUCUACGCCUCGAUCAGCUCGCACUCGUGAAAGUAGACCAAACUGAGCGACUGCUGCUUGAGUAGGUGGCGAUGCCCCAAUAAAGGGUUUGUCUACGUCAAUGAAAUCCCAUUUUUCAUAAGCUGAAAAUCUUCUUGCCGGGAUGGAACAGUAGCUUUGUAUACCUAUCUAUACAGCAUUCGUAUCGUGCCUACAUCUCACCCGUCAGAAAAUGGAGUAUUCAUAUAUGUAAAGAUACGCAUGUCUGGUACAUUUAUUGUCCUUGGGUGCUUUUGUAGAGGGUGUGAAGGCAUUUGAGUAACAAAUCCGUUUAUGGCGUCUGUUGAGGGCAUACAGGGACUGGUGUUGCAUACAGUCUCCAAGACGUGGCAGACUGUCCGCGAUAUUUGCAAUUUUGAUGUAAUCAACUUCCUCAGGGGUCACCUACAUUAACAAAUAACACAAAUUUACUGAACAUUUACAGAACAAAAAAUCACCUACAUUUACUUUCAAAUUAGCAAAUAUUUUGUCAAACUCUUUCAAUAACUCAUGUUGAGGUAAUUCUAAGGUCUUUGAAUUAUAGUAAUCAGGUAUUGCUUUUGAACAUGAAAAAUGUUCAAAAGCAAAGUGGGCAGCUAAAAGUUGUUAUUUUCAAUAUAGCUGGUUUUGCUUUAGAUGCAUAUAAGGCUCUGGGAGUACGGUAGCACCCUUCCAAGUAAGGAUGGCACCUGUAGUUAAUAUUAAUCUCGAUAUUCAUAGAUGUGAAGUGCUUCCAUAAAAUAUCACAAUUUUUAUAUCAUCUUCCGUGGAUACACAGGGUUCAUGGCCUUUGACUAUCUCUUUAGCGCUAGCACAUUAUUGCUUUUACAGCGUAGCAACUAUCCACGUCUGGGUCUUAGAAUGAAGUUUGACAACUGUGAAUUGGAAUUUAUGCAAACAGAUCUAAGAGAACAUUUGACCAAAUUCUUUGCAAAAGUGCCGGUAUAUUAAUCUUUCAAAGUGUACAACCAGUUAGAAGCUAAUAAUUUGUAAGUUUUAAUUAAGCGCAAACUGUUAAUUUUAGGUGUUUGUUAUUAUGGUCUUUUAUAUAGAUAACAAAGUUCUACUCUAAUGUAUGAAUGUAGUGCUACUAAAAUGAAGAAGCACUAGAAGUACAAACCCUCGGCCGGUAUGCACCUUGAAGGUAAUUAGUCGCGCUAUGACAAAAUCAUGACAGAAACGCAUGAUGUGAGUAAUAAACGUACAACAUGCAGUGUAUAUGUCAAAAGUUAUUGUUUUGUAUGUUUGUAUGUGUUGUAUAGAUUAGCGAUUUGGAAGAUUGUAAAACAGAUAAUUUCUUCGUGAGUCUAGAAGUAUUUCGGAUGCACUUAUAGCGGCCGGGUGUCCUCAUCCUCUCACCAUCUCAAAUAGAGAUGAUGCAAUAACAACUAUACUGCUAAAUGAGCUCAUAGUAAGCCGCAAAGCUGAAAUAGAUCAAUUUGUUGUUGGACUUGGACCUAUUGGUGAUCUUGCCAAACAAUUUCCCGAUAUUGUGAGGCCUCUAGCAACUUUCGCUGACAUAAAACUAACCACACAGGAGUUCGUGUCAAUGCUCCAGUUUGAGUCAACACUUCCAGCACACCUGAAAGACUAUACUUCUUGCGCUACAUUAUGGCUGCGGAUACAGAAAACUCGGCAGGUUGUUCCAAUACUCUGCAAGGGGUUGACGGAAAUCUCCUGGUUUCGUCGAUUCGAUCCGCCUAUCCAAACGUUUCAACGUGUGCGUUAAUUUUAGAACUUUCUAGGCAAUGCACACGUAGGAGUAGUUCGUGCAAAGCGUAAAUUCUGUGAUUGGCAUUCAAUAUACUGGAUUUGGAGUUGUCUAGCUACUAGUAAUGUGUUGUCAUUAUUUCUAAUUUACGCUAGCAAUAAUAUAGAGUAAGGUUGUUUGUUAGGUUCUAUAACCAGAACUUGUUAAGUUUAUUGUGCGUUGCUGGAAAUUGAGUUGAAUGCAUCUUAA
Molecule: long non-coding RNA, 2874 nt
Organism: Corticium candelabrum
Lineage: Eukaryota; Metazoa; Porifera; Homoscleromorpha; Homosclerophorida; Plakinidae
Exons: 2
Source: RefSeq, a predicted model, not a curated record